CCUGGCUCGUAUGAACGCUAGCGACAGGCUUAACACAUGCAAGUCGAGGGGCAGCGGGGUGUAGCAAUACACCGCCGGCGACCGGCGCACGGGUGAGUAACGCGUAUGCAACUUACCUAUCAGAGGGGGAUAACCCGGCGAAAGUCGGACUAAUACCGCAUGAAGCAGGGGCCCCGCAUGGGGAUAUUUGCUAAAGAUUCAUCGCUGAUAGAUAGGCAUGCGUUCCAUUAGGCAGUUGGCGGGGUAACGGCCCACCAAACCGACGAUGGAUAGGGGUUCUGAGAGGAAGGUCCCCCACAUUGGUACUGAGACACGGACCAAACUCCUACGGGAGGCAGCAGUGAGGAAUAUUGGUCAAUGGGCGUAAGCCUGAACCAGCCAAGUCGCGUGAGGGAUGAAGGUUCUAUGGAUCGUAAACCUCUUUUAUAAGGGAAUAAAGUGUAGGACGUGUCUAUUUUGUAUGUACCUUAUGAAUAAGGAUCGGCUAACUCCGUGCCAGCAGCCGCGGUAAUACGGAGGAUCCGAGCGUUAUCCGGAUUUAUUGGGUUUAAAGGGUGCGUAGGCGGCCUUUUAAGUCAGCGGUGAAAGUCUGUGGCUCAACCAUAGAAUUGCCGUUGAAACUGGGAGGCUUGAGUAUGUUGAGGCAGGCGGAAUGCGUGGUGUAGCGGUGAAAUGCUUAGAUAUCACGCAGAACCCCGAUUGCGAAGGCAGCCUGCCAAGCCAUGACUGACGCUGAUGCACGAAAGCGUGGGGAUCAAACAGGAUUAGAUACCCUGGUAGUCCACGCAGUAAACGAUGAUCACUAGCUGUUUGCGAUACACAGUAAGCGGCACAGCGAAAGCGUUAAGUGAUCCACCUGGGGAGUACGCCGGCAACGGUGAAACUCAAAGGAAUUGACGGGGGCCCGCACAAGCGGAGGAACAUGUGGUUUAAUUCGAUGAUACGCGAGGAACCUUACCCGGGUUUGAACGCAUUUCGACCGCUCUGGAAACAGAGCCUCUAGCAAUAGCGAUUUGCGAGGUGCUGCAUGGUUGUCGUCAGCUCGUGCCGUGAGGUGUCGGCUUAAGUGCCAUAACGAGCGCAACCCUUGCCACUAGUUACUAACAGGUGAUGCUGAGGACUCUGGUGGGACUGCCAGCGUAAGCUGCGAGGAAGGCGGGGAUGACGUCAAAUCAGCACGGCCCUUACAUCCGGGGCGACACACGUGUUACAAUGGCGUGGACAAAGGGAAGCCACCUGGCGACAGGGAGCGAAUCCCCAAACCACGUCUCAGUUCGGAUCGGAGUCUGCAACCCGACUCCGUGAAGCUGGAUUCGCUAGUAAUCGCGCAUCAGCCAUGGCGCGGUGAAUACGUUCCCGGGCCUUGUACACACCG
This 1375-nucleotide ribosomal RNA is filed under the name uncultured bacterium. Its description in RNAcentral is "bacterial SSU rRNA". It matches the Rfam family "Bacterial small subunit ribosomal RNA", at positions 18 to 1392 of the family's 1533-position model. The record is from RNAcentral.